Molecule: non-coding RNA, 741 nt
Organism: Paramuricea clavata
Lineage: Eukaryota; Metazoa; Cnidaria; Anthozoa; Malacalcyonacea; Plexauridae
Source: the annotation of a GenBank genome assembly
GUGCCACACAAAGCCUUCGGGUGCUACGGUGGAAGGAUCGAGCCCGGUUAAGACCGGCUGAGACUUCGUGCUCAGGUGAUCGAUCUGACUGGCCGUAUGCGGAGUGAGACGAAAAUUCGGGGGUUCUGUUUCCCCGAAAAAAAAUGAGAAAAAAGCCUAAAGUACCUUGCUCUAAAAGCAAAGCAAAGACUCAGUAAAAUUUUUUCCUGUCCUCCCGGGGACUUCUCACCUUCUUCCUUCCCUCCCGCCUUCCCACCGCACGCUGUCAUAUUCUACCGCGCAUGCGCCACACCAUGGUAACCACUAAAGAUUAAUUUCAAUGGUAGUAUUUUCUCCAAACAUUUCUCCCAGCCGCCAUUUGUAUUUUUCUUCUUUCGUCCGCCAUCUUUUUUCUUUUUUAUUUUUCAUUCGUCCUCGAACCGAUCCUGAUACACGACAUUGCCUUUUACAGGCCGAUAUCGCUACCACUAGACCACUUGCUCGUUGUUGGAAGCCUACCGCAACUUAUUCACCUGAAUCUUUUUUCUCUAGCUUGUGUAAUUAAGUGACAAAAUGACUUCUGUAGGACUUGAACCACAAUGGUACAUCACACAGCAUGUAGUCUGUACCACUAGACCACUUGCUCGUUGAUGAAAGCAUAUUACAACUUAUUUACCGUAGCCUUUUUUCUCUAGCUUGUGUAAUUAAUAUCCGACACAUUUCAAGUCACAAAACUACUUCGACAGGACUUGAACCACAAAG